Molecule: ribosomal RNA, 274 nt
Filed under: uncultured bacterium
Lineage: Bacteria
Description: partial 16S ribosomal RNA
Rfam family: Bacterial small subunit ribosomal RNA
Source: RNAcentral
AUACGGAGGGUGCGAGCGUUAAUCGGAAUUACUGGGCGUAAAGCGUACGUAGGCGGUUUGCUAAGUCAGAUGUGAAAGCCCCGGGCUUAACCUGGGAACUGCAUUUGAUACUGGCAGACUAGAGUAUGAUAGAGGGGGGUAGAAUUCCUGGUAUAGCGGUGAAAUGCGUAGAUAUCAGGAGGAAUACCAGUGGCGAAGGCGGCCCCCUGGAUCAAUACUGACGCUGAGGUACGAAAGCGUGGGGAGCGAACAGGAUUAGAAACCCUAGUAGUCC